Molecule: ribosomal RNA, 305 nt
Filed under: uncultured bacterium
Lineage: Bacteria
Description: bacterial SSU rRNA
Rfam family: Bacterial small subunit ribosomal RNA
Source: RNAcentral
UAUUGCCUACGGGGGGCAGCAGUGAGGAAUAUUGGUCAAUGGGCGGAAGCCUGAACCAGCCAAGUCGCGUGAGGGAAUAAGGCCCUACGGGUCGUAAACCUCUUUUGCCGGGGAGCAAGGGCCGGGACGAGUCCCGGUCCGGAGAGUACCCGGAGAAAAAGCAUCGGCUAACUCCGUGCCAGCAGCCGCGGCAAUACGGAGGAUGCGAGCGUUAUCCGGAUUUAUUGGGUUUAAAGGGUGCGUAGGCGGGCUUUUAAUUCAGCGGUAAAAAUUCGGGGCUCAACCCCUUCCGGCCGUUGAAACUG